AGAGCUGGAGCUGGUCUGCGCAUGCACUUGGAGGCACGGUAUGAACAACCGCAGAAACGCCGGCCAACUACGCCAGUUCUCAGAGCCCAGCGUUCUCCUCUCUCCUCUUUCAUUGGUUUCCCAGGAAAGCUGCUGAGGGCGGGAGCCCCAGAUGCACAGGUUGGCUCAUAAGCGGACUGCCUUUCACAGCCACCACUACCCACCCGGGGAGAGCACUGGAUUGUGGCAAACGGGACCUCUUUGUGUGAGCAACCAAGGCCAUAUGCUGCUGGCGAGUGUGGUGGGAUGUGUUUAUAUUGGAUACAGCCUGGAGCCCUGCACCGGAGCAUCUUACUGCCAGGAGAGCUAGUGUGGUGGAGGCGAGAAGCGGUGAAGCCAUUUCUAUCCCAGCAUGCCCAGCAUUUCAGAGAUGACAAGGAAAAUCUUCAUUACCAUUUCAAGAACUGGGAACAAAGAAAAAUCCCGUUCCAGGACACAGAGGAGGAGAUGCGGGUAGCUGAACAGAAACUUUUGAAGAUUACCAUGGGAAUACACCUGUGAACUUCCAGAUGAAUGAGGCCCAGAGAGGUUAAGACACUUUAUCAAGAUCACACAGCUGGUUUGAUCUCAGUUACUCCCUUACUUGAAGAAGGCUUCGAUGAUUCCUCAUGGAGAAAUCCCAGAUACUUCUGCACAUGAUUCAAAGGUCCCUUACAACUGGCUUCAGCCUGCCUUCCAAGCCCUGUCUCUUGCCUCUCCCUUCCUUCACGCCGUGCUUCAGCGAGAUUUUAGCCUAUUUUAUUGACAGAGGAGGUGUGAUUUGCAGUAACAAUGCUCUUAAAAAGGAUUACCAUCAUCAUCAUCACCAUCAUCAUCUUCAUCAUCAUCAUCCUUUUGAAGCAAAAGAAUCCAAAAGGAGUAACAGGGAUGACAUUUAAGGUUCAGAAUUCUAUAGGGAUGGUACAGCCCGGGUCCUAAAGCAAGGAUAUUGUACUAUUUUAUCAUCUUGUAGGGUGCAAUGCAUCCAGAAGAUAAAGGCCAAAGAUUAUACAUCAGAGAACCACCAGAAUCUUUCUGUUCUUGCAGGGACCAUCUUUACUCACAUGGCUAUAGUCAUCGAAAUUCCAACCGAGUAAUAAACUAAAU
Molecule: long non-coding RNA, 1125 nt
Organism: Gorilla gorilla gorilla (western lowland gorilla)
Lineage: Eukaryota; Metazoa; Chordata; Mammalia; Primates; Hominidae
Exons: 6
Source: RefSeq, a predicted model, not a curated record